This 540-nucleotide ribosomal RNA is filed under the name Halococcus hamelinensis. RNAcentral's name for it is "bacterial SSU rRNA". It matches the Rfam family "Archaeal small subunit ribosomal RNA", at positions 43 to 583 of the family's 1478-position model. The record is from RNAcentral. Lineage: Archaea; Methanobacteriati; Methanobacteriota; Halobacteria; Halobacteriales; Halococcaceae.
AAUCCAUCAUGCUAGUCGUACGAGUUCAGACUCGUGGCGUAUAGCUCAGUAACACGUGGUCAAACCACCCUCUGGACCGGGAUACCCUCGGGAAACUGAGGUCAAUCCCGGAUACCGCUUUCACGUUGGAAAAACGGAAAGCUGGAAACGGUCCGCCGCCGGAGGACGUGACUGCGGCCGAUUAGGUAGACGGUGGGGUAACGGCCCACCGUGCCAAUAAUCGGUACGGGUUGUGAGAGCAAGAGCCCGGAGACGGAAUCUGAGACAAGAUUCCGGGCCCUACGGGGCGCAGCAGCCGCGAAACCUUUACACUGCACGACAGUGCGAUAAGGGGAUCCCGAGUGCGAGGGCAUACAGUCCUCGCUUUUCGUGACCGUAAGGUGGUCACAGAAUAAGGGCUGGGCAAGACCGGUGCCAGCCGCCGCGGUAAUACCGGCAGCCCGAGUGAUAGCCAAUUUUAUUGGGCCUAAAGCGUCCGUAGCCGGCCGAACGGGUCCGUCGGGAAAUCCACCCGCUUAACGGGUGGGCGUCCGGCGGAAA